RNAcentral lists this transfer RNA (71 nucleotides) under Candidatus Sungbacteria bacterium RIFCSPHIGHO2_01_FULL_54_26. RNAcentral describes it as "tRNA-Lys". It matches the Rfam family "tRNA". Rfam says of the family: Transfer RNA (tRNA) molecules are approximately 80 nucleotides in length. Their secondary structure includes four short double-helical elements and three loops (D, anti-codon, and T loops). Further hydrogen bonds mediate the characteristic L-shaped molecular structure. tRNAs have two regions of fundamental functional importance: the anti-codon, which is responsible for specific mRNA codon recognition, and the 3' end, to which the tRNAs corresponding amino acid is attached (by aminoacyl-tRNA synthetases). tRNAs cope with the degeneracy of the genetic code in two manners: having more than one tRNA (with a specific anti-codon) for a particular amino acid; and 'wobble' base-pairing, i.e. permitting non-standard base-pairing at the 3rd anti-codon position. The record is from RNAcentral. Lineage: Bacteria; Candidatus Sungiibacteriota. RNAcentral also lists the same sequence under 1 other name.
CCCCCUAUAGCUCAAUGGUAGAGCAGCGGACUUUUAAUCCGUUGAUCGUGGUUCGAGCCCACGUGGGGGGA